GACGAACCGUGCAACCGUUAUUCGGAAUCACUGGGCUUAAAGGGCGCGUAGGCGGACAGGUAAGUCAGGGGUGAAAGCCCACGGCUCAACCGUGGAAGGGCCUUUGAUACUGCCUGUCUUGAGGGAGGUAGGGGCGUGCGGAACUUCCGGUGGAGCGGUGAAAUGCGUAGAUAUCGGAAGGAACACCGGUGGCGAAAGCGGCGCGCUGGAUCUCUACUGACGCUGAGGCGCGAAAGCCAGGGGAGCAAACGGG
This 253-nucleotide ribosomal RNA is filed under the name uncultured bacterium. Its description in RNAcentral is "partial 16S ribosomal RNA". It matches the Rfam family "Bacterial small subunit ribosomal RNA", at positions 524 to 776 of the family's 1533-position model. The record is from RNAcentral.